AUACGUAGGGUGCGAGCGUUGUCCGGAAUUACUGGGCGUAAAGAGCUCGUAGGUGGUUUGUCGCGUCGUCUGUGAAAUUCCGGGGCUUAACUCCGGGCGUGCAGGCGAUACGGGCAUAACUUGAGUACUGUAGGGGAGACUGGAAUUCCUGGUGUAGCGGUGAAAUGCGCAGAUAUCAGGAGGAACACCGGUGGCGAAGGCGGGUCUCUGGGCAGUAACUGACGCUGAGGAGCGAAAGCAUGGGUAGCGAGCAGGAUUAGAUACCCUGGUAGUCCAUGCCGUAAACGGUGGGCGCUAGGUGUAGGGGUCUUCCACGACUUCUGUGCCGUAGCUAACGCAUUAAGCGCCCCGCCUGGGGAGUACGGCCGCAAGGCUAAAACUCAAAUGAAUUGACGGGG
Molecule: ribosomal RNA, 398 nt
Filed under: uncultured bacterium
Lineage: Bacteria
Description: partial 16S ribosomal RNA
Rfam family: Bacterial small subunit ribosomal RNA
Source: RNAcentral